This 301-nucleotide ribosomal RNA is filed under the name uncultured bacterium. Its description in RNAcentral is "partial 16S ribosomal RNA". It matches the Rfam family "Bacterial small subunit ribosomal RNA", at positions 509 to 807 of the family's 1533-position model. The record is from RNAcentral.
CAGCAGCCGCGGGAACACGGAGGGUGCAAGCGUUAAUCGGAAUUACUGGGCGUAAAGCGUGCGUAGGCGGUUCGUUAAGUCUGUUGUGAAAGCCCUGGGCUCAACCUGGGAAUUGCAGUGGAUACUGGGUCACUAGAGUGUGGUAGAGGAUAGUGGAAUUUCCGGUGUAGCAGUGAAAUGCGUAGAGAUCGGAAGGAACAUCUGUGGCGAAGGCGACUAUCUGGGCCAACACUGACACUGAGGCACGAAAGCGUGGGGAGCAAACAGGAUUAGAUACCCCGGUAGUCCCUGUCUCUUAUAC